CCUACGGGUGGCAGCAGUGAGGAAUAUUGGUCAAUGGACGCAAGUCUGAACCAGCCAUGCCGCGUGAAGGAAGACGGCUCUAUGAGUUGUAAACUGCUUUUGUACGGGGAUAAAUCCCGAUACGUGUAUCGUGUUGAAAGUAUCUUACGAAUAAGGAUCGGCUAACUCCGUGCCAGCAGCCGCGGUAAUACGGAGGAUUCAAGCGUUAUCCGGAUUUAUUGGGUUUAAAGGGUGCGUAGGCGGUUCGAUAAGUCAGAGGUGAAAUCGUGGGGCUCAACUGCGACACUGCAUCUGAUACUGUCGGGCUAGAGUUUAGUUGAGGUAGGCGGAAUGUAUGGUGUAGCGGUGAAAUGCAUAGAGAUCAUACAGAACACCGAUUGCGAAGGCAGCUUACCAAACUACGACUGACGUUGAGGCACGAAAGCGUGGGGAGCAAACAGGAUUAGAUACCCCUGUAGUC
This 460-nucleotide ribosomal RNA is filed under the name uncultured bacterium. Its description in RNAcentral is "partial 16S ribosomal RNA". It matches the Rfam family "Bacterial small subunit ribosomal RNA", at positions 338 to 795 of the family's 1533-position model. The record is from RNAcentral.